GACGAACGCUGGCGGCGUGCUUAACACAUGCAAGUCGAACGGAAAGGCCCUGCUUUUGUGGGGUGCUCGAGUGGCGAACGGGUGAGUAACACGUGAGUAACCUGCCCUUGACUUUGGGAUAACUUCAGGAAACUGGGGCUAAUACCGGAUAGGAGCUCCUGCUGCAUGGUGGGGGUUGGAAAGUUUCGGCGGUUGGGGAUGGACUCGCGGCUUAUCAGCUUGUUGGUGGGGUAGUGGCUUACCAAGGCUUUGACGGGUAGCCGGCCUGAGAGGGUGACCGGCCACAUUGGGACUGAGAUACGGCCCAGACUCCGACGGGAGGCAGCAGUGGGGAAUAAUGCACAAUGGGCGGAAGCCUGAUGCAGCAACGCCGCGUGCGGGAUGACGGCCUUCGGGUUGUAAACCGCUUUCGCCUGUGACGAAGCGUGAGUGACGGUAAUGGGUAAAGAAGCACCGGCUAACUACGUG
Molecule: ribosomal RNA, 468 nt
Filed under: uncultured bacterium
Lineage: Bacteria
Description: partial 16S ribosomal RNA
Rfam family: Bacterial small subunit ribosomal RNA
Source: RNAcentral